CCAACAGUUCGUCGUAAGGAUUUGAUUUUUCUCAUCCUGCAAUGAAAAAUUCAACAUCGAAAUUUUUCUCUACGGCCACCAUGUAUACAUAUACAUAACACGUGUAUGCAUAAUACAGACAGCAUUGUCCAGUAUUACGAAACUUCACAGGAAACACAUCAAAGGUCCUAUGGAUACUUACCACGUCGAUGAUGUGGUGCAAGGACAGUCCAAAGACAACGGCAAGAGGCUGCGAUGAAUUCUCCGCUGGUCGUACACCAGCAUCGUAACCAUCCAGCAGAUGCUUGGUAAGACGAUACUCGUGUUCGUCACAGGAUCCUGGAAGAAUAAUAAUGACAAUCUUUCGCAAUGAGACUACGUAGCUCAGUCCGUCCACCCUCCUAUCUACCCCUCAUACGUCCUAUCAGUAUAUAUUGACACUGGACGUAGCAUCAAAGCCACAGACAGAAGUUCUAGAGGGAAAGCUGUUAUUUUUUUAGAUAGCUAUCCCAGUAAAUUGACAUAAACAUUCUGAGCUCUGAAAAGAAGAGUGUUAGACUGGAUUUUGAAAAGAUGCGAGACAGGAAGUUCUCAAAAGAUAGCAGAUGCAUUUACGUUCUGAUAAAGGGGUGAGAAAAUGUACGUCACGGGGAUGUAAAUCGAAAAACACUUCGGGUUUGUAAUGAGAUCGUGCGUCAGGAGGCGACGUUAUACGAAAGGACAGAUUGGGUGAGUGAGAGUAUCCUGGAAGAUAUUUUUAAGGGGUUGACAGGGAGCCAUCCCCAGAACACUUGUAACAGGAAUUUCAAGUUUCCAGGAAGCAGGUUUUAUUAGAGUCGAAGCACUUGAAGCUUUGCGAUCGAAACUAUUUAGAGAUCUGCCAAUUUUUACAUGUUUGCACGAAGACACGAUAACGCUGAAAAAUCUAAUAAAGGACGUUGACUACUGUGGUUGAAGUUGAAGAAAUUAUACAUGAAAUAAAACAAUAUCUCUAAGGAUAUUAUAAAAGGAUCAAAUUUAUUAAAAGAAAAUGAUGAAAAAUGAAGAAAAUAAUGUCUCUAAGGAUAUUAUAAAAGGAUCAAAUUUAUUGAAAGAAAAUGAUCAUUCCUCCAUACCGUUUUGUUUAUGAAAAAUAAUCUGAAGAAGAAAGUGUUCCGCCAUAGAAACUCAGUAAUAAUUUCUCAUAGAUUUUAUAAUCAAUCGAGCAUGCUCAGAGCCAAUAAUAACUUACAGCCUGCUUCCUACGUCCGCAAUAGUAUGACAGAGCAAUUGAUCAUUUCAUCUUAUCUCAUUAGUGCCAUCUCACCCUCCGUUCGGAGGAUGACUUUCUAAUUAACGUUCAGUCAAAUUUGAGGGAGCUUGGAAAACGAUAUCAAAGUCAAGAUGGGACCAUAAUGUAUAUUCGAGUAGCAGAAUGGCUUGCCAAUUCAAAAGUUUCUCCAUGUCGCUUCGACCUAUACUGUAUUCUCUGUUUGCAGUGAAAAGUUCACAGGAGUGAGUUGUGGAUAUUUGUGUGAAACUUAAAUUAAAACAAGAAAUAAGGG
Long non-coding RNA from Cephus cinctus (wheat stem sawfly), 1523 nucleotides. RefSeq lists it as uncharacterized. The record is from RefSeq and is a predicted model, not a curated record. The transcript has 6 exons. NCBI's taxonomy places the organism in Eukaryota, Metazoa, Arthropoda, Insecta, Hymenoptera, Cephidae.